GUUGUACACUUGUAUUACUGUUGUUCUUGAACAUCUAUUUUUUUUUUAUAAUUGAGAUCUUUGUUAACAAACUUGUGUUCCCCCGCCUCUCCCUUCACUUUACAGCUAAACAUCCUUUCUUUGGUCAAAGGAGUGGAUGGUCAACUCUUACAUGUAAAAGAUGUUAAAAUAUUGGCUAGCAUUCUUUUGAAAAGGCGCCAUGAAUAUCAUAUUUAACAUGCAGAGUCUUGCUAAAAGUUUUCAAAAACAGAGGUUUAUAUCCUCUGCCUUCUACUAGAGACCUGUGCUGAAUUUGUAUCUUCUUCACCUGGUGAAUGUGAAGACCUACUAUUGGAGGUGCUGCAGCAGGGUGAGCCAGCCUCUAAAGAUCCAGUUGUUUUGUUGCCUUUCAUAACUGUCUUGAGGAGUCUCACUAACUCAUUUUUUGGAGCUAUGAGUAAUAAAAAUCAUGUUAU
Molecule: long non-coding RNA, 455 nt
Organism: Impatiens glandulifera
Lineage: Eukaryota; Viridiplantae; Streptophyta; Magnoliopsida; Ericales; Balsaminaceae
Exons: 3
Source: RefSeq, a predicted model, not a curated record